Molecule: ribosomal RNA, 409 nt
Filed under: uncultured bacterium
Lineage: Bacteria
Description: bacterial SSU rRNA
Rfam family: Bacterial small subunit ribosomal RNA
Source: RNAcentral
UGGCUCAGAUUGAACGCUGGCGGCAUGUCUUUACACAUGCAAGUCGAACGGGCUUGGGGGCUUGCUCCCAAGUUAGUGGCGAACGGGUGAGUAAUACAUCGGAACGUACCGUGUAGUGGGGGAUAACGUAGCGAAAGUUACGCUAAUACCGCAUACGAUCUACGGAUGAAAGCAGGGGACCUUCGGGCCUUGUGCUAUACGAGCGGCCGAUGUCUGAUUAGCUAGUUGGUGAGGUAAAGGCUCACCAAGGCGACGAUCAGUAGCGGGUCUGAGAGGAUGAUCCGCCACACUGGGACUGAGACACGGCCCAGACUCCUACGGGAGGCAGCAGUGGGGAAUUUUGGACAAUGGGCGAAAGCCUGAUCCAGCCAUGCCGCGUGUCUGAAGAAGGCCUUCGGGUUGUAAAGGA